UACGUAGGGGCCUAGCGUUGUCCGGAUUUAUUGGGCGUAAAGAGCUCGUAGGCGGUUUGGUAAGUUGGAUGUGAAAUCUCCAGGCUCAACUUGGAGGGGUCAUUCGAUACUGCCAUGACUAGAGUUCGGUAGGGGAGUGUGGAAUUCCUGGUGGAGCGGUGAAAUGCGCAGAUAUCAGGAGGAACACCCGUAGCGAAGGCGGCACUCUGGGCCGGAACUGACGCUGAGGAGCGAAAGCGUGGGGAGCGAACAGG
RNAcentral lists this ribosomal RNA (254 nucleotides) under uncultured bacterium. Its description in RNAcentral is "partial 16S ribosomal RNA". It matches the Rfam family "Bacterial small subunit ribosomal RNA", at positions 524 to 776 of the family's 1533-position model. The record is from RNAcentral.